UACGAAGGGGGCUAGCGUUGUUCGGAAUUACUGGGCGUAAAGCGCGCGCAGGCGGCUAUCCAAGUCAGUGGUGAAAGCCCGGAGCUUAACUCCGGAACUGCCAUUGAAACUGUUUAGCUUGAGUAUGAGAGAGGUGAGUGGAAUUCCCAGUGUAGAGGUGAAAUUCGUAGAUAUUGGGAAGAACACCGGUGGCGAAGGCGUUCCGCUGGGCCGUUGCUGACGCUGAGGCGCGACAGCG
Molecule: ribosomal RNA, 238 nt
Filed under: uncultured prokaryote
Description: partial 16S ribosomal RNA
Rfam family: Bacterial small subunit ribosomal RNA
Source: RNAcentral